Molecule: long non-coding RNA, 386 nt
Organism: Cyprinus carpio carpio
Lineage: Eukaryota; Metazoa; Chordata; Actinopteri; Cypriniformes; Cyprinidae
Source: Ensembl
UAUUGCUCCAAGAGUCUUUUUUGUAGGUACUGAUGCUUUACAUAUGUGUGCCAAUUUUCGUGCAUGUACGUGAAACACAGCUCGAGGGCUGUUGAUUUUUUUACGAUAGGUGGCGCUGUCGAGCCAUUUUGCCACACCCUCUUCUGAAACCUAUAUCAGACGUAAAUUUUCACCAGGUCUGACGCGUGUGCAAAGUUUCAGGACUUUUCGAGCAUGUUUAGGCCCUCAAAAAUGCGAUUCAUUUUGGAGAAGAAGAAGAAGAAGAAGAAGAAGAAGAAGAAGAAGAAGAAGAAGAAGAAGAAUAAUUAAAGCUGCAAGCAGCGAUGAACGGGCCCUCGCACCUGGGCUCACCACCUCGGGGUGGCUUUUGUAAAACAGCGAACGGC